This 497-nucleotide ribosomal RNA is filed under the name uncultured bacterium. RNAcentral describes it as "partial 16S ribosomal RNA". It matches the Rfam family "Bacterial small subunit ribosomal RNA", at positions 28 to 507 of the family's 1533-position model. The record is from RNAcentral.
GAUGAACGCUGGCGGCGUGCCUAAUACAUGCAAGUCGAGCGAACGGACGAGAAGCUUGCUUUUCUGAUGUUAGCGGCGGACGGGUGAGUAACACGUGGAUAACCUACCUAUAAGACUGGGAUAACUUCGGGAAACCGGAGCUAAUACCGGAUAAUAUUUUGAACCGCAUGGUUCAAAAGUGAAAGACGGUCUUGCUGUCACUUAUAGAUGGAUCCGCGCUGCAUUAGCUAGUUGGUAAGGUAACGGCUUACCAAGGCAACGAUGCAUAGCCGACCUGAGAGAGUGAUCGGCCACACUAGAACUGGAACACGGUCCAGACUCCUACGGGAGGCAGCAGUAGGGAAUCUUCCGCAAUAGGCGAAAGCCUGGCGGAGCAACGCCGCGUGAGUGAUGAAGGUCUUCGGAUCGUAAAACUCUGUUAUUAGGGAAAAACAUAUGUGUAAGUAACUGUGCACAUCUUGACGGUACCUAAUCAGAAAGCCACGGCUAACUACGUG